GGUAUCGCUCCUUCUUAUUUUAAGUUGUACAGUGGUGCCUCGCAAGACGAAAUUAAUCCGUUCCGCGAGUCUCUUCGUCUUGCGUUUUUUUCGUCUUGCGAAGCACGGCUAUUAGCGGCUUAGCGGCUAUUAACGGCUUAGCGGCUUUAAGAAAAAGGAAACAAACUCGCAAGAAAUCGCAAGACGUUUCGUCUUGCGAAGCAAGCCCAUAGGGAAAUUCGUCUUGCGGAACGACUCAAAAAACGGAAAACUCUUUCGUCUAGCGAGUUUUUCGUCUUGCGAGGCAUCCGUCUUGCGGGGCACCACUGUACAUUGUAGUUUGUUCUUUCACUUCUGUUUUUAUUCAGUGCUUUAAAAAGUUCUAUUUUUUCUGAGCAUGGCCACUUAAUUACUACUAUCCAAUCUUUGGUAAUUGGCUAAGAGGCUGAAGAUAGGCACUAAUGAAAACAAUGGCAGAGAAAUUAACUCCCGGUUCAAAUAUGGCAUCAGUUUAAUAGGAGAAGUCCUAUUAAAAAGAGAAGUCUUCUCUUUUCAGGAGAAGUCCAUAUUCUAACAUUACGUGGGAACUUGCAGGAAAAUCUAUUUUGGUAUUUCCCAUCAGUUAUAAUAACCACAAUCGUAUUUCUCUUUAUGAAUUCAAGGAGCAGGGCUUCAUAAGAGAGUUCAUAGUAUUGACCACCUUGUAGGAGACCAAAUCAUUUGCAUACCGAAAUUUACCCAAAGAGUAUUUGUGCUGAGAAUAUUACAGGCCCUGGAUAAACCUUGGCGUGGAUAUGCAUGAUUGAUCCUCAUAAAACUCCAUAGAUGAACAUUGGAGCAUGGGUGCAAUUGGAGCACGUCAGAAGUUGUUCUUUCUUUUCAUUAGCUUGCCUUAGGGCCAAUUUAUAUAUUAUGCAAAAUCAAGCAACAAAGCUUUUCUCUGAACUGCAUCACUAGGGUCUACAUGUUUUGAGGUAGGUGUGUUGCAUCUUAAAAGUGCCUGGGGUGGAGGGGGAAAUCGAGGCACUACAAAAUAUUGUUUAUCACAAUCCCACCGUGGGUUUUUUGUGUGUGUGGAAAAAAUCCUUCAUCAAGGUCAGUGUAAAUGUACAAAUAGAUAAAUAGUAUAAAACAGAAUGAAAAGCACUGUCUCAUCUUCUGCUUUUCUCCAAUAUUUCAACUUUAAGUUGUCAGUUUGCAUAGAAUGACAGCGCAGUUUAGCUGUCAAGCAGGCUUUUCUUUGAACAACAGAUUUGGACUGCCUUUGUGAAGAGCGAAGGAACUGCUAAGUGAGCAUAGUUGAUAACAGGGCAGAUUCCAUUUCAUGCUCACUGCCAGUGUUUUUAUAGGGUUUUUAUAUUCACCUACCAGCUUUAGUACAGACUGAGGUGACUUUCAUGUUUCCUUUUGUCAAUGACCAGUGUCUAGUCUUGCUACGUUGCUGCACGUUUUUAAAAAUGGUAUGUGUGUAUGGAAAUGAAUGGUUCCCCCCCCCCCCCCACACCAUAGAUUUUGAUGUUUCUUGGGAACUUCCUCCAGGAGGACUUCUAACCCUGCUUUUCUGGAACAUGAAAUUGAAGGAAGAGACAAAUUAACUGUGGCCCACAUUCAAAGAAGAGGCAUGUGUACACAAGAGAGAAUUGCAUGUGCAGCGGAGUGCUGCCUGCAGUUUCCUUCAUGGAAAUCGUCUUUCUCAUGAGCCAAGUCCCCGUUCAGUUGAAAAAGUAGCUUGUCUACCAUCUGCUGCCGAGUUUGGCAAGGUGAGCUUGAGCAGCUGAGGUAAAGGCCAAGGUGGAUUAAUUUUUAUGGCAGGGACCACCAGCAAGCCAGGAUGAAUUCUCUUUCUUUUGCACUUAGACCAGAGGACAAACCUGACCUGAACACUUUUAUAAGCCUUGUUUAGCUAGUGAUCCUCAUAGCUCCUUCCUUUGAUCACUAAUGGUAAAGGUAAAGGGACCCCUGACCAUUAGGUCCAGUCGUGACAGACUCUCGGGUUGCGACGCUCAUCUCGCUUUAUUGGCCAAGGGAGCCGGCGUACAGCUUCCGGGUCAUGUGGCCAGCAUGACUAAGCCGCUUCUGGCGAACCAGAGCAGCGCACAGAAAUGCCGUUUACCUUCCUGCUGGAGCGGUACCUAUUUAUCUACUUGCACUUUGACGUGCUUUUGAACUGCUAGGUUGGCAGGAGCAGGGACCGAGCAACGGGAGCGCACCCCGUCAUGGGGAUUCGAACCGCUGACCUUCUGAUCAGCAAGUCCUAGGCUCUGUGGUUUAACCUACAGCGCCACCCGUGUCCCUGCUGUCACUAAUGGUAGACAGACGGUAUUGUCGUCUGACAUUCUUCUCCUUGCCUCCACUUUCAGUUUUGGGACUCAUUAUGGGCUGUAAAGGCUUUGAACUUUGCACGUAGUUCUCUUCUGCACUCACACACUUCAGAUUGUUUUAUAGUGAACUGGUUAUCCACCCUGUGAAGCAAGGCUAGGGAACCUCAUGUCUGGCACCCAAAUGCCUCCCCCAUGGCCCUCAGAACUCUCUCUAGGCCACACUCACCACUGGCUCUUCCUUGCACUCCAAAUGUUUUUGCCCAACUAGAAUAUGCAGGGUGAAGCAGCUGCCUCAGGCGGUGGAAUGGAAGCGGUGGCACCCCAGGUAAGGGAAGCUGUAGCAGCUGCAGAGCAUUCCACUGCCCAGCUUUGUUGCUGGUCUUCCACACUGGUGGGACCAGUGGCAAAGCUCUGUGUAACGAGUCUCUUCUUGCCGAGUCGGCGGGAGGCGAGGUCUCCCUCCCCAGCUUCGCCACUGGGUGGGAAGGGAGCUUCCCUCAGCCCAGAAGAGUAGCGAGGCUUGGAGAAGCUGUCCAAAGCUUUCUCCCCAUAACAUGACAGGGAGGCAGGAGAAGCCCUUGCAGAGUCUCCCCACCCCCAUCAUGGGGGUGGCAGGGGAAGCUUUGCCUCAGGUACUGAAAUGUCUGGUCAUUAUCUAGUGCUAACCGAGAUGAUGACCUUCCCUGGAGAGCAAAUUGCAGAGAGGAUGUACCACAGUAGAAAAGGGGCCAUACAGCUGGAAGCAACUACGUGGGGAUCUGCUGAAAAGAUGAUAACUGGGAUACAGAACUGGCCACGGCAGGAUCUAUUCUCAAAGGAGGAGUUAAUGUGAAUUUUUCAGCUUGUUUGGAGGUGCAGCUGGGGCAGCACCUUUUGAAAUGAACAAAAGCAGUUUAAAAUAUUACUCUGGUUGACGAUGAACGAAAUCUUAAAGAUAAGGUGACGUUCCUGUUGUUUUCUGGCACUAAGCACGUAGAAAAAGUGCCAGUGAAAACGUGGCAUCCGUAUGAUCCAGCGUAGGCACACAAGCACACACCCUGCAAAGAACCGCACUUUAAAGCUGCCGUCCAAGUAGAGAAAAUUGAGAGAGUUUUGCGAAUAUAGAGUGAAGACUGAUGGCUGGUGGUCCUCCAAACCUCAGUGUUUUCUCAGUAUCUCCCUUGUGGGAAAAACCUUUGCCAAAAUGGAAGCAUCUUUCAAUGAAAACUGACUGAGUGAUUAAACAGAAAAGCCUAGCAGUAAUGAUUCCUCCAUCCACUUUCAAAUCCUUGCAAUUCACUGCUUCUGUCAGGUUUCCUCCAGCGGAAUAUCUUUAUCUGCUUCCUGUUGAUCGCUUAAAAACAGGAGGCCCAGAUUUCCUACUUUCAAUCAGAGUUGCUCUUCAGAAUGAAAUGGGACUAAGUGAGAAAGUUUCCUGUGUGUUCCUAAGAAGGCUGCAUUACUCCUUUAGAUAUGUGGCUGAGCAGGAAAUAGAUAUUUAGGGUCAUGGUGGAGAUAAGUCAAUUAAAACAUCAGCCUGUGGCGUGGCAGCUGUGGAAAGAAGAACCCAUGCUGGGUGAUCAUUAGGGGAUGGACUGAAAAUAAAACUGACAAUAUCACAAUGCCUUUAUAAGCGUCCAUGGUGUGACCUUACUUAGAAUACCACUUAUAGUUCUGGUUGCCAGAACCUCGGAAAGGAUGGUACAGAGCUAUGAAAAGUCCUGAAAGGAGCAACCCAAAUGGUCAAGGGCCCUUCCCUCUGAGGAAGGUUUACUUUGCUUGGGGGCGUUUUAGUUUAGAAAAGGGAAAACUCGAUAGAGGUGUAUAAAUUUAUGCAUGGCGUGAGGAAAGUGGAUAGGGAGGAGUUUCUCCUGGGGCCUUCCAAUGUCGCCGAAUAGUGGGAAAUUCAGGACAGACAAAAGAAAGUAUUCCUUCGCGCAGUGAAUUUGCUCUCACAACAUGUAGUGACAGCCGCCAUCUUGUUUGGCUUUAAAAAGGGGAGAAGACCAAUUCAUGGAUGUUAAAUCUAUCAAUGGUCAAUAAGACAUGAUUGCUGUGUAUUGCCUCUAGGAUCAGAGGAAACAUACUUCUGAAUAUCAGUAGGGAACAGAAGCAAGAGAGUGAGCUAUUGCUGUCAUGUCUUAAGGCAAACAAGAUGGCAGCUCUGUGUAGGCCUUUGAUCUGAUCCAGCAGCUCAGCCCCAGUUGUGGAUUGCUUUUCAUUCUCUGGUUGUAAUCCUGUGCCAGGUUACUUGGGAGCAAGGCCUAUUGAAUUCAGUCUGCCUUCCUUCUGACUUGCAUAGGACUGAGCUAUCAAUCUGCUGUAUGCCUUAGGAUGGGCAGAAAGUAGUGUGAAACAUUGUUCCUAAGGGACAGUUUGCAUAAAUGUCCCUCGAUUGUUAAAUACAUUUUUUUUAUUUAAAUAUUUAUAAGCUGCCUUUCCUGACCAAGAAAAUGCAAGCAUAAAAAAUAUAAAAAAUACAAUAAGAAUUUAACAUUCAAAAACUGCAAAAACCAACAGUACGUUAAAAUAAAAUUAAAGCCAGUAUUAACAAAGGGGGGGGGGAUUUCAGAGCCAAAGCAAUAAACCAUUGCAUCUAGCAAUUAACAGUCCAGAAGUGCAGAUAUUCAGUUCAAAUCACCUCUUAGGUAGAAACGAGACACAUUUUUUUCACCCAGUUUUUCUUGUGAAAUAUGUAGUAACAAUCGAAUUGUGAAAUGGGUAUAGUAGUAACACUGUAUUAUGUAAAAUGUUGAUUUCUCUGUCCACUUGUGUCAUGUCAUCAUCUCGACAGACGUACAUGUUUGGGGCGUGGGAUGGGGCAAAAUCACAUGCAUACAUUUUGGACUGCAUUCCUUACUUAAAUUAGCAUCUCCAAGGGGCCAGCUGCAACCUUACUUUCUAAAUGAAGGUUACUGCAAAAUAACAGACAAAAAGAACAAGUGCAUCUUAGAGUUUGGGAGUGUAGAAACAUGUGCUGACAUCACAAAUCAGAUUAAUUUCAGUUUAUUUGGUCUAUGGACCAUAAACAUCAAAUACCGUUUUCAAAGUAAUUAUAGCAAAGAAAGAAGGAAGGAAGGAUGGACAAUAUAGAUGUACAUAAGUUGUGCCUUACCAAAUUUCAUAAACAAUCAAAAAUAGUUAAAAAUACAGACAAUUGUGACUUUGUUUUUUUUUUUAAAAUCAUAUUUAUUAAAGUUUCC
This is a non-coding RNA of Podarcis lilfordi (Lilford's wall lizard), 5482 nucleotides long. Lineage: Eukaryota; Metazoa; Chordata; Lepidosauria; Squamata; Lacertidae. The record is from the annotation of a GenBank genome assembly.